This 1541-nucleotide long non-coding RNA is filed under the name Canis lupus familiaris (dog). RNAcentral's name for it is "lncRNA (ENSCAFG00040020467.1)". The record is from RNAcentral. Lineage: Eukaryota; Metazoa; Chordata; Mammalia; Carnivora; Canidae.
CCAGGCCUUCGCGCAGGAGGGGUGUUCAGUGAGUUUGCAUCGAAUUCAAUGAAAUGAAUGAAAUACUUCCGUGAAUAGAAAACAUUUUGAGGGUAAGUCGGGGGAAAAUCCGGUUGUAAUACUGACUCAAAAUCAAACGGUGAUUCGGAAGCUUUAUGUCCGAGUGAGGACAAGGACUGGAGGGUCAGGGGAAACAAGGCCAGCGGGGUGGCGAGGGGGAGGGGGCUUGGGGCCACAUCGUGUUUUCCACGACUGUGGUUUGUGCAGUGCACGUCGGAAGAGGAGGCCUCCCCAUGAGUGGAGCACCCACUGGGUGCCAUCCUCCAACCUCAGAAUGCAUCCUCCUCCCGGGAGCCUGCGAGGGAGGCUUUGUGACCCCGUUUUACAGAAGAGAAAGUCAAGGCCCAGGGAGUCUGGAUGUGUCCCAGCAGCAGGGCCAGAACUAACCCAGACCUGCCGCCUCUGGGCUGUCCUUCUCCCUGUAGAAAUCCCACCAGAGGUGAGACAGCGGGGCGACGACACCUUUGCAGACACAGCUGUGGGCUGUGGAGCUUCGAAGCCAUCUGGUUUCUGGAUCUUGGGACCCCCCUGCCCCAGGCCAGGGAAGGAGGGGAGGAGGCUUUGGGGGACUCUUUAUAUCCUCCCACCUUGCUCUCCUCAACUCAGCAUCCUUGUCCCAACCUCUGCAAAGCCCAGGGGUUCGCUGUGACAGUAAUAACAGCAGCGACAAGAAUGAUCACUGCCAUCUACGGAUACUUGCCGGAUACUUGCUGGGCAGGGGCCAAGCUUCCUCUGCUUUCUCCUUGGUCUUGGGCUCCACAGUGACCCCCUGAGGUAGGUAUGCUAUUGUCGUCAUUUUGUCGCAGAAGGAAUCAGAGAGGUUAAGUGGUUAGCCGGGGGUCACACAGCAUCUAGCUGGGGUCAGAAGGGACCUGUAGCCCACUCUCCUCCCUUGAUCUCAAUGGCUGAGUGACUCCAACUUCAGUGACCUCAUUUGAGGUGCUGGUAAAAAUGCAAGCUCCUGGGCCCCACCUGGACUCACUAAGUCAGAAUGCAAGGGGAGCAAGGCUCCGGAAGCCGUGCUUCUGAAGAGUGCUGCAGGUGAUUCUUGCACUCAGGCGUGCCUGGAAAAUCUUGCACCAGGGCUGUCGAGGGAACUUAGCCAGAGAGGGCUAGAAAGUGCCCAGAUGGCAACAUCUGGCUUCUAAAACUGCGGGUCAUGGAGGAGGGGAGGAGGGCUGUCUCAACGUUUGGGAGAGGGUGGGUGGGAGGCUGCACCGCCAGAGGAGGGAGGGAGCCUUUCCAUCCCUCCUUCCCUUCCCCGGGGCCCCUUUGUCCAGUGCCCGGAUUGAAGGAGGGGUCAGCAGCCUCCUUGGAUAAGCCCUGGCAGGUGCAUCUGUCAGCCCGGAGGGGAGGGCGGGUGGAGGUGGCAGGUGGAUGGACACCUCCGCUCCUCUCCCUGAGGUCAGGCGAGAGCUCUUCCUGACUGGCCUCCCCAGGCUCCUGCUGGCCCCCUCCCCUACCCCCCUCCCCACCGCCCC